CGGGUCCUACCUGGAGCGACACCGCGCGGCAGGGCGCCAGGCUCCGCGGCGUGGGCCGCCGCGCCCGCCCCAGAGGUCGUUUCCCCUGCAGUUUCCAACAUGGCAGGCAGGCAGGUUUUAUAGACAUGGACAAGAAGUCUGCACACAGAAGUUCUGAGGAUGCCAGGACCGGCAAAAGUGGAGGUAAACACAAACAAAAGAAAAGAGAAAAGCAAAACCAAGAACACCACCGAUCCCGACAUAGGUCAACAUCUCAUUCUUCAGAUGACUGUGUGUUUCCUUCUUCUGUAUCAUCUUCAGGAAGCCAAACGGAUUCAAGUCUAGAAGGUGCUGCCAAGGGAAGAAUUAAGAGAAAGAGAGGAAAGAAAAGGAGUAAACGGAGAAAAGAAAGAAAGGUAACUGGGGAUAAUUUAAUACAGGAAGAAAAUUUAGCUAUCCGAGUAUUCCGCGCUUUCUUGCUAAUAAAGGAAAACAGCCCACACGGGACUUUGCAGAGCUGGAAGGAACGAGUGGUGAACAUGCCGUUAACACGGAGCUAAUCGAAUAGUAUCCUUUUUCUUUUCAAAUACUGUAAUCGAAGUUUCACCUUCUCAGGUGUCAGUUACCUGAAGCACACUGUGGUCCGAACCUACUAAAUGGAAGAAUUCCAAAGAUAGACCAGUCGUAAGUUUUCACUUUUGUCCAUUCUGAGUAGUGUGAUAAAACCUCACGCCAUCCUACUCCGUCCCACUCUGGAUGGGAAUCAUCUUUGUCCAGCAUAUCCACGCUAUAUACGCUACCCACCCCGGGUCACCUAGUAGCCAUCUCCGUUAUUGGAUCAUCAGCUGUCACAGGACUGUAGUUCUUGUGGUUAGGUACCCUUAUUUUACUUAAAAUGGCUCCAAAGCCAAAGAGUAGUGAUGCUGGCAAUUUGGAUAUUCUCUUACUGUGGCUGAUUUAGAAAUUAUAGGAGUUCCCGUCGUGGCGCAGUGGUUAACGAAUCUGACUAGGAACCAUGAGGUUGCGGGUUCGAUCCCUGGCCUUGCUCAGCGGGUUAACGAUCCGGCGUUGCCGUGAGCUGUGGUGUAGGUUGCAGACGUGGCUCGGAUCCCGCGUUGCUGUGGCUCUGGCGUAGGCCGGUGGCUACAGCUCCGAUUGGACCCCUAGCCUGGGAACCUCCAUAUGCAGUGGGAGCGGCCCAAGAAAUAGCAACAACAACAACAACAAAAGACAAAAAGACAAAAAAAAAAAAAAAAAAGAAAUUAUACUUUAUCCCAGGUAUGUAUGUAUAGCAAAAGACACUGUAUAUAUAGGGUCUGGUGCUAUCCCUGGUUUGGGGUAUCCACUGGGGAGGGUUGAAUCAUCCUCUGUGAAUAAGGGAGGAAGACUUUAUUCAGAAAACUAUACAGAUAGGUAAAAUCUUACAUUUGCAAUUCUUUUGAUGCUCUUUAUUUUUAUGUAUUUUUUUGGCUACACCCAUGGCAUAUGCAAGUUCCCUGGGCCAGGGAUCAAACCUGUGCCAUAGCAGCAACCUGAGCCACUGCAGUGAUAAUGCCAGGUCCGUAAUCCCCUGAACCGCUAGGGAACUCCUGAUUCUCUUUAUUUUUUAUGUUAACACAAAUUGGUUUGAAUAAAUGCCAAUAAUAUAGAAAUAGAUAAAAGUGA
This 1644-nucleotide long non-coding RNA is filed under the name Sus scrofa (pig). Its description in RNAcentral is "lncRNA (ENSSSCG00060048251.1)". The record is from RNAcentral. Lineage: Eukaryota; Metazoa; Chordata; Mammalia; Artiodactyla; Suidae.